This 416-nucleotide ribosomal RNA is filed under the name Drosophila eremophila. Its description in RNAcentral is "partial 12S ribosomal RNA". Lineage: Eukaryota; Metazoa; Arthropoda; Insecta; Diptera; Drosophilidae. The record is from RNAcentral.
UCAUUCUAGAUACACUUUCCAGUACAUCUACUAUGUUACGACUUAUCUUACCUUAAUAAUAAGAGCGACGGGCGAUGUGUACAUAUUUUAGAGCUAAAAUCAAAUUAUUAAUCUUUAUAAUUUUACAACCAAAUCCACCUUCAAAAACUUUUUCAUAAUUUUAUUCGUUUAAAUAAAUUUAUUGUAACCCAUUAUUACAUAAAUAUAAGCUACACCUUGAUCUGAUAUAAAUUCUAAUAAAAAUUAUUGAAUAUUAUUAUUCUUAUAAAAUAUUCUGAUAACGACGGUAUAUAAACUGAUUACAAAUUUAAGUAAGGUCCAUCGUGGAUUAUCGAUUAUAAAACAGGUUCCUCUGGAUAGACUAAAAUACCGCCAAAUUUUUUAAGUUUCAAGAUCAUAUCUAUUACUACUUAAGU